This 2886-nucleotide ribosomal RNA is filed under the name Acinetobacter baumannii. RNAcentral's name for it is "23S ribosomal RNA". It matches the Rfam family "Bacterial large subunit ribosomal RNA". Lineage: Bacteria; Pseudomonadati; Pseudomonadota; Gammaproteobacteria; Moraxellales; Moraxellaceae. The record is from RNAcentral.
AGUCAAGUAAUUAAGUGCAUGUGGUGGAUGCCUUGGCAGUCAGAGGCGAUGAAAGACGUGAUAGCCUGCGAAAAGCUCCGGGGAGGCGGCAAAUAUCCUUUGAUCCGGAGAUGUCUGAAUGGGGGAACCCACCUACUUUAAGGUAGGUAUUGCAACAUGAAUACAUAGUGUUGCAAGGCGAACGAGGGGAAGUGAAACAUCUCAGUACCCUUAGGAAAAGAAAUCAAUUGAGAUUCCCUCAGUAGCGGCGAGCGAACGGGGAUCAGCCCAUUAAGUUAUGUGUGUUUUUAGUGGAACGCUCUGGGAAGUGCGAACGUAGAGGGUGAUAUUCCCGUACACGAAAGGGCACACAUAAUGAUGACGAGUAGGGCGAGGCACGUGAAACCUGUCUGAAUAUGGGGGGACCAUCCUCCAAGGCUAAAUACUCCUGACUGACCGAUAGUGAACCAGUACCGUGAGGGAAAGGCGAAAAGAACCCUGUGAGGGGAGUGAAAUAGAUCCUGAAACCGCAUGCAUACAAGCAGUGGGAGCACCUUCGUGGUGUGACUGCGUACCUUUUUGUAUAAUGGGUCAGCGACUUAUAUUCAGUAGCGAGGUUAACCGUAUAGGGGAGCCGUAGAGAAAUCGAGUCUUAAUAGGGCGUUUAGUUGCUGGGUAUAGACCCGAAACCAGGCGAUCUAUCCAUGAGCAGUUGAAGGUUGGGUAACACUAACUGGAGGACGAACCACUGUCGUUGAAAAGCCAGGGGAUGACUUGUGGAUAGGGUGAAAGGCUAAUCAAGCCUGGUGAUAGCUGGUUCUCCCCGAAAGCUAUUUAGGUAGCGCCUCGGACGAAUACCAUAGGGGGUAGAGCACUGUUUCGGCUAGGGGUCAUCCCGACUUACCAAAACCGAUGCAAACUCCGAAUACCUAUGAGUACUAUCCGGAGACAGACUGCGGGUGCUAACGUCCGUAGUCAAGAGGAAAACAAUCCAGACCGCCAGCUAAGGCCCCAAAAUCAUAGUUAAGUGGGAAACGAUGUGGGAAGGCAUAGACAGCUAGGAGGUUGGCUUAGAAGCAGCCACCCUUUAAAGAAAGCGUAAUAGCUCACUAGUCGAGUCGGCCUGCGCGGAAGAUGUAACGGGGCUAAAACUAUGUGCCGAAGCUGCGGAUGUAUACUUGUAUACGUGGUAGGGGAGCGUUCUGUAAGCCGAUGAAGGUGUGUUGAGAAGCAUGCUGGAGGUAUCAGAAGUGCGAAUGCUGACGUGAGUAACGACAAAACGGGUGAAAAACCCGUUCGCCGAAAGACCAAGGGUUCCAGUCCAACGUUAAUCGGGGCUGGGUGAGUCGACCCCUAAGGCGAGGCCGAAAGGCGUAGUCGAUGGGAAAAUGGUUAAUAUUCCAUUACUUCUGUGUAAUGCGAUGAGAGGACGGAGAAGGCUAAAUCAGCCUGGCGUUGGUUGUCCAGGUGAAAGGAUGUAGGCAUGUAUCUUAGGCAAAUCCGGGGUACUCUAUGCUGAGAUCUGAUAGCAAGCUGUACUUGUACAGCGAAGUGGUUGAUGCCAUGCUUCCAGGAAAAGUCUCUAAGCUUCAGUUACACAGGAAUCGUACCCGAAACCGACACAGGUGGUCAGGUCGAGUAGACCAAGGCGCUUGAGAGAACUCUGCUGAAGGAACUAGGCAAAAUGGUACCGUAACUUCGGGAGAAGGUACGCUGUUGUUGGUGAUGGAACUCGCUUCCUGAGCUGACGACAGCCGCAGAAACCAGGCCGCUGCAACUGUUUAUUAAAAACAUAGCACUCUGCAAACACGAAAGUGGACGUAUAGGGUGUGAUGCCUGCCCGGUGCUGGAAGGUUAAUUGAUGGGGUUAGCGUAAGCGAAGCUCUUGAUCGAAGCCCCAGUAAACGGCGGCCGUAACUAUAACGGUCCUAAGGUAGCGAAAUUCCUUGUCGGGUAAGUUCCGACCUGCACGAAUGGCAUAAUGAUGGCGGCGCUGUCUCCAGCAGAGGCUCAGUGAAAUCGAAAUCGCUGUGAAGAUGCAGUGUACCCGCGGCUAGACGGAAAGACCCCGUGAACCUUUACUGCAGCUUGACACUGAACUUUGACCUUACUUGUGUAGGAUAGGUGGGAGGCUUUGAAGCUGGAACGCUAGUUCCAGUGGAGCCGUCCUUGAAAUACCACCCUGGUAAUGUUGAGGUUCUAACUCUGUCCCGUGAUCCGGGACGAGGACCGUGUCUGGUGGGUAGUUUGACUGGGGCGGUCUCCUCCUAAAGAGUAACGGAGGAGUACGAAGGUGCGCUCAGCGUGGUCGGAAAUCACGCGUAGAGUAUAAAGGCAAAAGCGCGCUUAACUGCGAGACCCACAAGUCGAGCAGGUACGAAAGUAGGUCUUAGUGAUCCGGUGGUUCUGUAUGGAAGGGCCAUCGCUCAACGGAUAAAAGGUACUCUGGGGAUAACAGGCUGAUACCGCCCAAGAGUUCAUAUCGACGGCGGUGUUUGGCACCUCGAUGUCGGCUCAUCUCAUCCUGGGGCUGAAGCAGGUCCCAAGGGUAUGGCUGUUCGCCAUUUAAAGAGGUACGCGAGCUGGGUUUAGAACGUCGUGAGACAGUUCGGUCCCUAUCUACCGUGGGCGCUGGAAAUUUGAGAGGAUCUGCUCCUAGUACGAGAGGACCAGAGUGACGAACCUCUGGUGUACCGGUUGUGACGCCAGUCGCAUCGCCGGGUAGCUAUGUUCGGAAGGGAUAACCGCUGAAAGCAUCUAAGCGGGAAGCCUACCUCAAGAUAAGAUUUCCCUAGGACUUUAUGUCCUCUAAAGAGCCGUUCGAGACUAGGACGUUGAUAGGUUGGAUGUGGAAGCAUAGUGAUAUGUGAAGCUGACCAAUACUAAUUGCUCGUGAGGCUUGACUAU